AACGGACGCUGGCGGCAUGCCUAACACAUGCAAGUCGAACGAGAUCUUCGGGUCUAGUGGCGCACGGGUGCGUAACGCGUGGGAAUCUGCCCUUUGGUUCGGAAUAACAGUUGGAAACGACUGCUAAUACCGGAUGAUGACGAAAGUCCAAAGAUUUAUCGCCAGAGGAUGAGCCCGCGUAGGAUUAGCUAGUUGGUGUGGUAACGGCGCACCAAGGCGACGAUACUUAGCUGGUCUGAGAGGAUGAUCAGCCACACUGGGACUGAGACACGGCCCAGACUCCUGCGGGAGGUGGCAGUGGGUAAUAUUGGACAAUGGGCGAAAGCUUGAUCCAGCAAUGCCGCGUGAGUGAUGAAGGCCUUAGGGUUGUAAAGCUCUUUUACCCGGGAUGAUAAUGACAGUACCGGGAGAAUAAGCUCCGGCUAACUCCGUGCCUGCCGCCGCAGUAA
RNAcentral lists this ribosomal RNA (449 nucleotides) under uncultured bacterium. RNAcentral describes it as "partial 16S ribosomal RNA". It matches the Rfam family "Bacterial small subunit ribosomal RNA", at positions 29 to 523 of the family's 1533-position model. The record is from RNAcentral.